Molecule: ribosomal RNA, 474 nt
Filed under: uncultured bacterium
Lineage: Bacteria
Description: bacterial SSU rRNA
Rfam family: Bacterial small subunit ribosomal RNA
Source: RNAcentral
ACUCCUACGGGAGGCAGCAGUAGGGAAUCUUCCACAAUGGACGAAAGUCUGAUGGAGCAACGCCGCGUGAGUGAAGAAGGGUUUCGGCUCGUAAAACUCUGUUGUUAAAGAAGAACAUAUCUGAGAGUAACUGUUCAGGUAUUGACGGUAUUAACCAGAAAGCCACGGCUAACUACGUGCCAGCAGCCGCGGUAAUACGUAGGUGGCAAGCGUUGUCCGGAUUUAUUGGGCGUAAAGCGAGCGCAGGUCGGUUUUUAAGUCUUGAUGUGAAAGCCUUCGGCUCAACCGAAGAAGUGCAUCGGAAACUGGGAAACUUGAGUGCAGAAGAGGACAGUGGAACUCCAUGUGUAGCGGUGAAAUGCGUAGAUAUAUGGAAGAACACCAGUGGCGAAGGCGGCUGUCUGGUCUGUAACUGACGCUGAGGCUCGAAAGUAUGGGUAGCAAACAGGAUUAGAUACCCCUGGUAGCGACUGA